GUGGCGUUCACCUGGCGCUGUGGCGUACAUCACAGCCGUGUCCACGGGAACCGACAGCUGCUGCGAGAAGCUGAACUCGGCAUCGUCGUCACCGGCUGAGUCCACCUCCACGCCGUCGUCCAGCGCGUCUCCCCGACAGGCCUGCAGGGGGCAGCGACACGACAGAGUCCUCAGUACAGAGACUCAAGAAGAAAAAUAAGAUGUCCGGGUCACGGGUGAACACACAAGCUGCGUCUGGUGGGCGUUGUUGUCGUGACGACCUGGUGACAACCUGAGACUGUGUCAGAUCUGGACAGUUCACUGAUCGGAUGAUGUGAUGAUGAUUUCAUGUCAACGGCGAAGUUAGAAUCUCUGAACUCUGACAAUAAUAAAUAUAAUCUAGAAAA
Scophthalmus maximus (turbot) is the source of this 386-nucleotide long non-coding RNA. RefSeq lists it as uncharacterized. The record is from RefSeq and is a predicted model, not a curated record. NCBI's taxonomy places the organism in Eukaryota, Metazoa, Chordata, Actinopteri, Pleuronectiformes, Scophthalmidae. The transcript has 2 exons.